RNAcentral lists this non-coding RNA (412 nucleotides) under Pongo abelii (Sumatran orangutan). The record is from RNAcentral. Lineage: Eukaryota; Metazoa; Chordata; Mammalia; Primates; Hominidae.
UAAUGAGAUGUGAGCAAAAACAACCUGUGUCACACCUGGGCACAAGCCUUAAAGGCCAGUGCUGCCCUUGUUGGGGAAAAAGUGUAGAUAUGAAUCGUUCCGCGACGCGGAGCGCCCCCUGCCGACCCAUGCUGAGCGUGUACUGUAGAUGAGGAGACUGAGGAUCAGAGAGAUAAAGUCACCUGUCCAAGGUCAUACUGUGGAUGUAGCUCUAACCCAAGCCCUCCUGACUGCAGCACAAAUUCUCAGCCACUACCAUAUUAGCCCCUUCAUUUGAAGGUGUCUUUGUCAUUGCCAAGAUUCCUUUUCCUCCCGGCCCCCUAAGUCUUCAGGUUUCUCUCAUCUCAUCUCCCCAGAGGAGCCAUGACACCAUCUCCUCCAAAAACAAAGUCAGAGCCUUCACUGUAGACGG